GAUAACCCGCCCCACCCCUCCCUCCCACCAACCCCCGCCGCCGCCUCACACCCCCUCCGCAACCCCUCCCAUGCCUACCGCCACAUCGACUAACAAUUUUAUCCAACGGCCGUCAGCUCCUCUGUCACCGUUACCGCCGUUUCCGGGGGUCCACGCGGCGGCCGAGUCGCCGGUUUCUGCUUACAUGCGCCUCCUGCAGAACUCGAUCUCUGGCGUCGAUUCUAAUAAUCAGUUUUUGGGAUUCUCGCCGCUAGCGCCGCUGGUUUCUCCUCGAUGGAAUAAUCUACCUCCUCAACGGCCGCAGCUG
Molecule: unclassified non-coding RNA, 307 nt
Filed under: Hevea brasiliensis (rubber tree)
Lineage: Eukaryota; Viridiplantae; Streptophyta; Magnoliopsida; Malpighiales; Euphorbiaceae
Source: RNAcentral